Molecule: non-coding RNA, 946 nt
Filed under: Channa gachua (dwarf snakehead)
Lineage: Eukaryota; Metazoa; Chordata; Actinopteri; Anabantiformes; Channidae
Description: 12S ribosomal RNA
Rfam family: Bacterial small subunit ribosomal RNA
Source: RNAcentral
CAAAGGCUUGGUCCUGACUUUAUUAUCAGCUGCAGCUAAAUUUACACAUGCAAGUAUCCGCACCCCCGUGAAAAUGCCCUACAGUUCUCUGCCCGAGAACAAGGAGCUGGCAUCAGGCACAGCCCCGCUAGCCCAAGACGCCUUGCUUAGCCACACCCCCAAGGGAGCCCAGCAGUGAUAAACAUUAAGCAAUAAGUGAAAACUUGACUUAGUUAAAGCUAAAAGAGCCGGUAAAACUCGUGCCAGCCACCGCGGUUAUACGAGAGGCCCAAGUUGAUAUCUGACGGCGUAAAGAGUGGUUAAAAAAGCUACAAACUAAAGCCGAAUACUUUCUAAGCUGUUAUACGCACUUGAAAGCAUGAAGUUCAACCACGAAAGUGGCUUUAUGACACUUGAACCCACGAAAGCUAAGAAACAAACUGGGAUUAGAUACCCCACUAUGCUUAGCCCUAAACAUUAAUAGCACCCCACACAGCUAUUCGCCAGGGAACUACGAGCAUGAGCUCAAAACCCAAAGGACUUGGCGGUGCUUAAGAUCCACCUAGAGGAGCCUGUUCUAGAACCGAUACCCCCCGUUCAACCUCACCCUCUCUUGAUCCUUCCGCCUAUAUACCGCCGUCGUCAGCUUACCCUGUGAAGGAACCAUAAUAAGCAAAACUGGCACAGCCCCAAACGUCAGGUCGAGGUGCAGCGUAUGAGAGGGGAAGAAAUGGGCUACAUUGACUACUUUAGUGAAUACGAAUGAUGCGCUGAAACGCACAUCCGAAGGAGGAUUUAGCAGUAAGCAGAGAAUAGAGCGCUCCGCUGAAAUAGGCUCUAAAGCGCGCACACACCGCCCGUCAUUCUCCCCUGCCUAAUUUUUAGCAUAUAACUAAUACACUUUCAUUCAUUAAGGGGAGGCAAGUCGUAACAUGGUAAGUGUACCGGAAGGUGUACUUGGACAAAU